Molecule: ribosomal RNA, 429 nt
Filed under: Chloroflexota bacterium
Lineage: Bacteria; Bacillati; Chloroflexota
Also listed under: 1 other name
Description: Chloroflexi bacterium partial 16S ribosomal RNA
Rfam family: Bacterial small subunit ribosomal RNA
Source: RNAcentral
UAGGGAAUCUUCGGCAAUGGACGAAAGUCUGACCGAGCAACGCCGCGUGAGUGAAGAAGGUUUUCGGAUCGUAAAACUCUGUUGUUAGAGAAGAACAAGGACGUUAGUAACUGAACGUCCCCUGACGGUAUCUAACCAGAAAGCCACGGCUAACUACGUGCCAGCAGCCGCGGUAAUACGUAGGUGGCAAGCGUUGUCCGGAUUUAUUGGGCGUAAAGCGAGCGCAGGCGGUUUCUUAAGUCUGAUGUGAAAGCCCCCGGCUCAACCGGGGAAGGUCAUUGGAAACUGGGAGACUUGAGUGCAGAAGAGGAGAGUGGAAUUCCAUGUGUAGCGGUGAAAUGCGUAGAUAUAUGGAGGAACACCAGUGGCGAAGGCGGCUCUCUGGUCUGUAACUGACGCUGAGGCUCGAAAGCGUGGGGAGCAAACAGG